This 371-nucleotide ribosomal RNA is filed under the name uncultured bacterium. Its description in RNAcentral is "bacterial SSU rRNA". It matches the Rfam family "Bacterial small subunit ribosomal RNA", at positions 396 to 766 of the family's 1533-position model. The record is from RNAcentral.
GUAGCGUGAAGGAUGACUGCCUAUGGGUUGUAAACUUCUUUUAUACGGGAAUAAGUGAGGCACGUGUGCCUUUUUGUAUGUACCGUAUGAAUAAGGAUCGGCUAACUCCGUGCCAGCAGCCGCGGUAAUACGGAGGAUCCGAGCGUUAUCCGGAUUUAUUGGGUUUAAAGGGAGCGUAGGCGGACGCUUAAGUCAGUUGUGAAAGUUUGCGGCUCAACCGUAAAAUUGCAGUUGAUACUGGGUGUCUUGAGUACAGUAGAGGCAGGCGGAAUUCGUGGUGUAGCGGUGAAAUGCUUAGAUAUCACGAAGAACUCCGAUUGCGAAGGCAGCCUGCUGGACUGUAACUGACGCUGAUGCUCGAAAGUGUGGGU